This 1605-nucleotide long non-coding RNA is filed under the name Hordeum vulgare. RNAcentral's name for it is "long non-coding RNA (HVUL_LNC016080)". The record is from RNAcentral. Lineage: Eukaryota; Viridiplantae; Streptophyta; Magnoliopsida; Poales; Poaceae.
ACUCGCCACAAGCUACAUCAGAGGCACAUCAGUACAUUACAUAAUCAUCAAGAGUAAGAGCAGGGUCCGACUACGGACGAAAACAAACGACAAAAGAAGAACGACGUCCAUCCUUGCUAUCCCAGGCUGCCGGCCUGGAACCCAUCCUAGAUCGAAGAAGAAGAAGAAGAAGAAGAAGAAGAAGCAACUCCAAAUGAAGAAUCAACGCGCUCGCGUCAAGUAACCUUUACCUGUACCUGCAACUGGUGUUGUAGUAAUCUGUGAGCCACAGGGGACUCAGCAAUCUCAUUUCCAAAGGUAUCAAGACUAGCAAAGCUUAAUGGGUGAGGUAUGGUUAAGUGGUGAGGUUGCAGUAGCGGCUAAGCAUAUAUUUGGCGGCUAACUUACGAGUACAAGAAAUAAGAGGGGGAAGAUCUACGCAUAACGGUCGUGAACUACAGAUGAUCAAAUGAAUGAUCCUGAACACCUACCUACGUCAGACAUAACCCCACCGUGUCCUCGAUCGGAGAAGGAACUUACGAAAGAGACAAUCACGGUUAUACACACAGUUGGCAUAUUUUAAUUAAGUUAACUUCAAGUUAUCUAGAACCAGUGUUAAACAAAGUUUCCACGUUGCCACAUAACCGCGGGCACGGCUUUCCAAAAGAUUUAACCCUGCAGGGGUGCUCCAACUAGUCCAUCACAAAUUACCACAAGCCGCAUAGAAAUCCUCAAUCACGAAGCUCGCGAUGUCGUCGGAUUCCCUAGUGGAAAACCUCAACUCUGAGAUUACCCAAAGCAUCACCGGAAUCCCGAUGCACAAGAUAUCUCGUCAAAGGUAAAACUAAUCCAGCAAGGCCGCCCGACGUGUCGAUGAUCCCGAUAGGAGUCGCGUACCUCGUUCCCAGGACACGACGGAUGAGCGAUGGUUACCACGCCAAACGCCGAGUUGCCCUGGGUAGCGUUAAUAAGCUGCUCUAUUUUGGACCAACACUCAUGAGGAGCACUGGCCCGGGGGUUGAUUAAAAUAGUCCGCGGGUGCCGGCGGGUCCCUAUGCAAUUUUAUUAGGUGAUUAGGCAAAUGUAGUACCAAUGUUGGGCCUUGCCAGACCAGCUUUAAUCUAAAACGAAUUAUCAAGGGGGUCCCCAUAACAAACCCGAUCGUGUUAGGAGCGCUCAAUUAUGGAACAUAACACCAGUAGCCGAAACUAAGGGGGCAAAGGUGGAACAAAACACCAGGCUAGGAAGGCCGAGCCUUCCACCUUUUACCAAGUAUAUAGGUCCAUUAAAUUAAAUAGCAUUAAUAUGGUGAUAUAACAAGGAACCCAUGUUUUCACAUGGAAGCAUCUGCACCUGCAACUAGCAACGCUAUCAACAGGGUUAAGCAAGCAGUAACAUAGCCAAUCAGUGGUUUGCUAGGUUGAACAGGUUGAAGGUUUCAUGGCAUUGUUGAGAGGCUGAAUUUAACAGGUGGUAGGCAACGAGACAUAACGGUAGAAACGGUAAAACUAGCAUGGCAAUGAUAGUAAUGGUAUCUGGGGAAAUGAUCAUCUUGCCUGAGAUCCUGCUUGGAAGAAGUAUGCCUCCGUGAAGCAGACGAACCGACGUAGUCGAACGGGUCCUCAC